CACACGUGUUAUUCAAAAAUGGAGUCGGUACGGAAUCAGUAAUUUGGACUUUUCACUUGUGCAGGUGCAACACUACUGUGUUGAAGUCAUUCGGACUAAUGUACCCCUAGUCCGCUUUGCUACUUCCCCUCCGCCGCAGUCUACGGCGGCAAUUGAAGAAGUCAUGGCGGAGCUGUGAAACCCUAAUGCUAUCUAAUUAACUUUUUCUCAAAACACCUCCCACUAGAGUGAUUGAUAAAGAAAGCCCUCUGCAAAUCUCCUUUCUGGAUUUGAAACUAGAUGGGAUUGGGAUCCCUUCUUCAAGUAUUGGAGAAGUACCAAUGCUUAGACUUAUUCAUUUUGGAUUUGUGUAGCGUAUCAACAAUGAAAAUGUUGGAAGAGAAAGAUAGUUUUGGGAAUGGUAGCCUUCAAGUUUGAGUCAAUUGUGGGACCAAGCUACACUACAGAGCUUCAUGGAGAAGUUGGGAGAAAAGAGAGAGCAUUAUAAGCAGCAACUGUUGACUUGAGCCGAGUUAGAAAUACUCCUGAAAAAACCUCUAUGUUGUAAAGAAGGUUAAACCUCUAUGUUCAUAAGACUAUGAAUUUCUCUACUAUUACCUGUCAUUCUGUUUGUCUUCAAAUUCCACACUUUCGAAAUAGUCUCUGUUCUUUACUCAUUUAGUUGAGAUGGGAUCUAUCUGUUUUUUAUCUUGAAGACCAUAAAAUGUCUCUUUGCAUCAAGUCAUUAAUUUAUAACAAAACAGUCUAUGCAAGUUCUAAUAAAUGAGUCAAUGAAGUGUGUUGCAUUA
Long non-coding RNA from Salvia miltiorrhiza (redroot sage), 788 nucleotides. RefSeq lists it as uncharacterized. The transcript has 2 exons. The record is from RefSeq and is a predicted model, not a curated record. Lineage: Eukaryota; Viridiplantae; Streptophyta; Magnoliopsida; Lamiales; Lamiaceae.